GGGCCCGUGGCUCAGCUUGGUUAGCGCGCUCGACUGAUAAUCGAGAGGUCCGGAGUUCAAAUCUCCGCGGGCCCA
This 75-nucleotide transfer RNA is filed under the name Candidatus Altarchaeales archaeon IMC4. RNAcentral's name for it is "Candidatus Altiarchaeales archaeon IMC4 tRNA-Ile". It matches the Rfam family "tRNA". Rfam says of the family: Transfer RNA (tRNA) molecules are approximately 80 nucleotides in length. Their secondary structure includes four short double-helical elements and three loops (D, anti-codon, and T loops). Lineage: Archaea; Nanobdellati; Candidatus Altarchaeota; Candidatus Altarchaeia; Candidatus Altarchaeales. The record is from RNAcentral.